GAUGAACGCUGGCGGCGUGCCUAAUACAUGCAAGUCGAGCAAACGGACGAGAAGCUUGCUUCUCUGAUGUUAGCGGCGGACGGGUGAGUAACACGUGGAUAACCUACCUAUAAGACUGGGAUAACUUCGGGAAACCGGAGCUAGUACCGGAUAAUAUUUUGAACCGCAUGGUUCAAAAGUGAAAGACGGUCUUGCUGUCACUUAUAGAUGGAUCCGCGCUGCAUUAGCUAGUUGGUAAGGUAACGGCUUACCAAGGCAACGAUGCAUAGCCGACCUGAGAGGGUGAUCGGCCACACUGGAACUGAGACACGGUCCAGACUCCUACGGGAGGCAGCAGUAGGGAAUCUUCCGCAAUGGGCGAAAGCCUGACGGAGCAACGCCGCGUGAGUGAUGAAGGUCUUCGGAUCGUAAAACUCUGUUAUUAGGGAAGAACAUAUGUGUAAGUAACUGUGCACAUCUUGACGGUACCUAAUCAGAAAGCCACGGCUAACUACGUG
Molecule: ribosomal RNA, 497 nt
Filed under: uncultured bacterium
Lineage: Bacteria
Description: partial 16S ribosomal RNA
Rfam family: Bacterial small subunit ribosomal RNA
Source: RNAcentral